This 1190-nucleotide long non-coding RNA is filed under the name Ornithorhynchus anatinus (platypus). Its description in RNAcentral is "lncRNA (ENSOANG00000043852.1)". The record is from RNAcentral. Lineage: Eukaryota; Metazoa; Chordata; Mammalia; Monotremata; Ornithorhynchidae.
GUCCUGUUUUGCUUUGCUGGCUGUCUCCCCCGUUUAGACUGUGAGCCAUCAAUGGGCAGGGAGGGUCUCUCUCUGUGGCCGAAAUGUCCAUUCCAAGCGCUUAGUCCAGUGCUCUGCACAUAGGAAGCGCUCAACAGAUACGACUGAAUGAAUGAAUGAAUGAAUGAAUGAAUGAAUGAAUGAAUGAAUGAAUGACUGACUGACUGACUGAAUAGGCCAGGCUGCUCGAGCGCAGCCGAAUGGACGAGCUCGGCCGCUCGAUUGCUUCGGCCUGGGCGCUCCCGCCCCGCCCCGCCCCGCCCCUCGCGCUGCCCGAGUCCGGCCCGAGUGCGGCCCGAGCCCGCCCGAGUCCGCGAGCUGAACCUCGGAGCCCAAUCGGCGAGCUCCUCCCCUCGCCGGCCGUUCGGCCCCUCGGCCCUUCGGCUCUUCGGGCGUUCGGCCGCGGCCCCGCCCUCCUCGCUCCCCCGGCUCCCCCGCCCCCCGGAGCUUCAAAAUGGCCGCGGGUGGAGCUGAGCAGGUCGGCGUGGGACCAAGAUGAGCGAUGGGCAGAAGAUCUCAGCCUCCAUCAACGGGUUGCGGCUGCCGGGCUCGGCGGAGGGCGGGGCGGGCCGGCCGGUCCGGGCCGUGAGCCUCCGGCCCCCCCCCCGCCCGGCUCGGCCCCCGCUGCGCCGACUCGGCCAUCCCGACCCUGGAGAUCGGCGACCCCGAGGCCGUCCAGUGCGGCGCGCCGGGCGUCCGGCCGAAGCCCCGCGAGCCCCCGGCCCGGCCGGCCCCCCGCCCGGCGUCGCCGCCCUCCCCGCCGUCGUCCUCGUCCUCCUCGGCGUCGUCGGCGUCCUCGGCGGAGCGGGAUGGGUCCGCCGGCCCCCGGUCCGCCUUCCCCGGCGGCGGGCCGGCCCCCGGCCGCGGCGACGGGCCCGCGGCGGGCGACGGGGCCGGCCCGGGCCCCGAGGACGGGGCCGACUUCACGGCCACCAGCGGCUCCAGCGCCAUCGUCACCCUGGGCGGCGACGAGGCCCCCUUCUCCGACGUGACGCUCAGCUCGGCCAAGGACGGCGGCCGCCCGGCCCGGCCCCCGCCCCCGCCCGGCCCCGCCGGCCCCGAACCCGCCGGGACCGCGGGCUCGGCCGCGGCGGGCAACUUCUUCACCAGGUAAGGCCGGCCGGGCGUUUUCCCCCGGGGCUGCUCGCCGG